Molecule: ribosomal RNA, 463 nt
Filed under: Vreelandella stevensii
Lineage: Bacteria; Pseudomonadati; Pseudomonadota; Gammaproteobacteria; Oceanospirillales; Halomonadaceae
Description: partial 16S ribosomal RNA
Rfam family: Bacterial small subunit ribosomal RNA
Source: RNAcentral
CCUACGGGGGCUGCAGUGGGGAAUAUUGGACAAUGGGCGAAAGCCUGAUCCAGCCAUGCCGCGUGUGUGAAGAAGGCCUUCGGGUUGUAAAGCACUUUCAGUGGGGAAGAAAGCCUUGGGGCUAAUACCCUCGAGGAAGGACAUCACCCACAGAAGAAGCACCGGCUAACUCCGUGCCAGCAGCCGCGGUAAUACGGAGGGUGCGAGCGUUAAUCGGAAUUACUGGGCGUAAAGCGCGCGUAGGCGGUCUGAUAAGCCGGUUGUGAAAGCCCCGGGCUCAACCUGGGAACGGCAUCCGGAACUGUCAGGCUAGAGUGCAGGAGAGGAAGGUAGAAUUCCCGGUGUAGGGGUGAAAUGCGUAGAGAUCGGGAGGAAUACCAGUGGCGAAGGCGGCCUUCUGGACUGACACUGACGCUGAGGUGCGAAAGCGUGGGUAGCAAACAGGAUUAGAUACCCAGUAGUC